ACAAGCGGUGGAGCAUGUGGUUAAUUCGACGCAACGCGAAGAACCUUACCAGGGCUUGACAUCCCCUGACCGCGUAUGAAAGACGUUUUCACCCUCAGGUGACAGGGAGACAGGUGGUGCAUGGUUGUCGUCAGCUCGUGUCGUGAGAUGUUGGGUUAAGUCCCGCAACGAGCGCAACCCCUAUGUUUAGUUGCUAGCGAGUAAAGUCGAGCACUCUAGACAGACUGCCGGUGAUAAACCGGAGGAAGGUGGGGAUGACGUCAAAUCAUCAUGCCCCUUAUGUUCUGGGCUACACACGUGCUACAAUGGCCGGUACAAACGGAAGCGAAGCCGCGAGGUGAAGCAAAUCUGAUAAAACCGGUCUCAGCUCGGAUUGCAGGCUGCAACUCGCCUGCAUGAAGUCGGAAUCGCUAGUAAUCGCAGGUCAGCAUACUGCGGUGAAUACGUUCCCGGGCCUU
Molecule: ribosomal RNA, 458 nt
Filed under: uncultured Pelotomaculum sp.
Lineage: Bacteria; Bacillati; Bacillota; Clostridia; Eubacteriales; Desulfotomaculaceae
Description: bacterial SSU rRNA
Rfam family: Bacterial small subunit ribosomal RNA
Source: RNAcentral